Molecule: transfer RNA, 73 nt
Filed under: Danionella translucida
Lineage: Eukaryota; Metazoa; Chordata; Actinopteri; Cypriniformes; Danionidae
Also listed under: 1 other name
Rfam family: tRNA
About the family: Transfer RNA (tRNA) molecules are approximately 80 nucleotides in length.
Source: Rfam by way of RNAcentral
GACCUUGUGGCCUAACGGAUAAGGUGUCUGACUUCGGAUCAGAAGAUUGCAGGUUCGAGUCCUGCCAGGGUCA